Molecule: small nuclear RNA, 19 nt
Filed under: Arabidopsis thaliana (thale cress)
Lineage: Eukaryota; Viridiplantae; Streptophyta; Magnoliopsida; Brassicales; Brassicaceae
Description: snRNA_04031
Source: RNAcentral
GGCGAUAAUCGAAAGCGGG